AUUGAACGCUGGCGGAAUGCUUUACACAUGCAAGUCGAACGGCAGCACGGACUUCGGUCUGGUGGCGAGUGGCGAACGGGUGAGUAGUGUAUCGGAACGUGCCCAGUCGUGGGGGAUAACGUAGUGAAAAUUACGCUAAUACCGCAUACGAUCUAUGGAUGAAAGCGGGGGAUCGCAAGACCUCGCGCGAUUGGAGCGGCCGAUAUCAGAUUAGGUAGUUGGUGGGGUAAAGGCCCACCAAGCCAACGAUCUGUAGCUGGUCCGGGAGGCCGACCAGCCAAACUGGAACUGAGACACGGUCCAGACUCCUACGGGAGGCAGCAGUGGGGAAUUUUGGACAAUGGGCGAAAGCCUGAUCCAGCCAUUCCGCGUGCAGGAUGAAGGCCCUCGGGUUGUAAACUGCUUUUGUACAGAACGAAAAGGUUUCUACUAAUACUAGGAGCUCAUGACGGUACUGUAAGAAUGAGCACCGGCUAACUACGUGCCAGCCGCCGCAGUAA
Molecule: ribosomal RNA, 500 nt
Filed under: uncultured bacterium
Lineage: Bacteria
Description: partial 16S ribosomal RNA
Rfam family: Bacterial small subunit ribosomal RNA
Source: RNAcentral